RNAcentral lists this unclassified non-coding RNA (268 nucleotides) under uncultured Hypocreales. Its description in RNAcentral is "sequence contains 5.8S rRNA gene, ITS2, 28S rRNA gene". The stretch from base 1 to 52 matches the Rfam family "5.8S ribosomal RNA", at positions 103 to 154 of the family's 154-position model. Lineage: Eukaryota; Fungi; Ascomycota; Sordariomycetes; Hypocreales. The record is from RNAcentral.
AACGCACAUUGCGCCCGCCAGUAUUCUGGCGGGCAUGCCUGUCCGAGCGUCAUUUCAACCCUCGAACCCCUCCGGGGGGUCGGCGUUGGGGAUCGGCACGCCCUCACACGGGUGCCGGCCCCGAAAUCCAGUGGCGGUCUCGCCGCAGCCUCUCCUGCGCAGUAGUUUGCACACUCGCACCGGGAGCGCGGCGCGGCCACAGCCGUAAAACACCCCAAACUUCUGAAAUGUUGACCUCGGAUCAGGUAGGAAUACCCGCUGAACUUAA